UGGUUCUGGCGUCGAUGAAGAACGCAGCGAAAUGCGAUAAGUAAUGUGAAUUGCAGAAUUCAGUGAAUCAUCGAAUCUUUGAACGCAUAUUGCGCCCUUUGGUAUUCCGAAGGGCAUGCCUAUUCGAGCGUCAUUAGCUAAACUCAAGCCUGGCUUGUCAUUGGGUCUUAUCGUUGAAGAUAGGCCUGGAAGUUAAUGGCGGUGUCCUUGAGACCCUAGAUGCAGCGAGCUUUCUUAGCAUCCAUCUUUGCGGUUUGAGGGCAUCUGCCUUGCAAAGUCCGUCCUCCGGUUAAAAUCUUUUGACCGUGGGAUAGAUAUUCUCGCAGGUUGACCUCGGAUUAGGUAGGAAUACCCGCUGA
This 359-nucleotide unclassified non-coding RNA is filed under the name uncultured fungus. RNAcentral's name for it is "partial contains 5.8S ribosomal RNA and internal transcribed spacer 2". The stretch from base 1 to 133 matches the Rfam family "5.8S ribosomal RNA", at positions 22 to 154 of the family's 154-position model. Lineage: Eukaryota; Fungi. The record is from RNAcentral.